RNAcentral lists this ribosomal RNA (253 nucleotides) under uncultured bacterium. RNAcentral describes it as "partial 16S ribosomal RNA". It matches the Rfam family "Bacterial small subunit ribosomal RNA", at positions 524 to 776 of the family's 1533-position model. The record is from RNAcentral.
UACGGAGGGUGCGAGCGUUAAUCGGAAUUACUGGGCGUAAAGCGCACGCAGGCGGUCUGUCAAGUCGGAUGUGAAAUCCCCGGGCUCAACCUGGGAACUGCAUUCGAAACUGGCAGGCUAGAGUCUUGUAGAGGGGGGUGGAAUUCCAGGUGUAGCGGUGAAAUGCGUAGAGAUCUGGAGGAAUACCGGUGGCGAAGGCGGCCCCCUGGACAAAGACUGACGCUCAGGUGCGAAAGCGUGGGGAGCAAACAGG